AUGGCGGACGCUCGUGGCGACGCCGGCGCAGCGGCUGGAGAUGUAGUGGAGCUGCAGGGCGCAGUGACAGCGGAUGAAGUGAAGGACGUUGGCAGCGUCCACGGCGGUGCGGGGAAACUCGCAACCGCUGUGGAAGUGGAGAAGGAGGUGGCGGGCUCCUCCUCAGUGCUGCCGGAGCAGAAGGUGACGGCGUCGAGCAGCGCAGUCCAUCCUGAUGCGUAG
This 222-nucleotide ribosomal RNA is filed under the name Triticum aestivum (bread wheat). RNAcentral describes it as "partial small subunit ribosomal RNA". The record is from RNAcentral. Lineage: Eukaryota; Viridiplantae; Streptophyta; Magnoliopsida; Poales; Poaceae.